AUUUGGACUUCAAUUUUACAGAAAUUAUACAAGGCUGCCAAACGAUAGUAGGCAUAAUAACAAUAACAAAAACAAUCAAGAAGGCUUAUGAUUUUGGACAUUUUUAUUUGCAAAACGUUGCACCAGUUUCUUACCAUACCAUAUCAAAAUUCUCACCCCCUUUCAAUUUACAGCAACCAACAAGUAAACAAGCAAACCAUCUCCUCCAUAAAUAUUCCCCUUUUUGUCUAUAAAGCCAGUGCAAUGGUUUUUAUAGAUCGACACCCUCAUCAACGCCCUUGGAGCUGAUCAUGACAUUGGAAUCAAUUUGUUUGUCAAAUUUUUUUUUCCUCCUAGCUUCAAAAUCCUCAAAUCCUUCCAUCUGCUGAAAUUG
This 373-nucleotide unclassified non-coding RNA is filed under the name Hevea brasiliensis (rubber tree). Lineage: Eukaryota; Viridiplantae; Streptophyta; Magnoliopsida; Malpighiales; Euphorbiaceae. The record is from RNAcentral.